GCAUUGGCAGUUUAGUAGUAGAACUCCGCCUUCCAUAUAGAAGACCUGAGUUCAAUUCCCAGCCACUGCA
This 70-nucleotide transfer RNA is filed under the name Loxodonta africana (African savanna elephant). It matches the Rfam family "tRNA". Rfam says of the family: Transfer RNA (tRNA) molecules are approximately 80 nucleotides in length. Their secondary structure includes four short double-helical elements and three loops (D, anti-codon, and T loops). Further hydrogen bonds mediate the characteristic L-shaped molecular structure. tRNAs have two regions of fundamental functional importance: the anti-codon, which is responsible for specific mRNA codon recognition, and the 3' end, to which the tRNAs corresponding amino acid is attached (by aminoacyl-tRNA synthetases). tRNAs cope with the degeneracy of the genetic code in two manners: having more than one tRNA (with a specific anti-codon) for a particular amino acid; and 'wobble' base-pairing, i.e. permitting non-standard base-pairing at the 3rd anti-codon position. The record is from Rfam by way of RNAcentral. Lineage: Eukaryota; Metazoa; Chordata; Mammalia; Proboscidea; Elephantidae.